This 253-nucleotide ribosomal RNA is filed under the name uncultured bacterium. RNAcentral's name for it is "partial 16S ribosomal RNA". It matches the Rfam family "Bacterial small subunit ribosomal RNA", at positions 524 to 776 of the family's 1533-position model. The record is from RNAcentral.
UACGUAGGCAGCAAGCGUUGUUCGGAGUUACUGGGCGUAAAGAGUGCGUAGGCGGUCCUAUAAGUUCCGUGUGAAAUCUCCCGGCUCAACUGGGAGGGUGCGCGGAAGACUGUAGGGCUUGAGUGUGGGAGAGGUAAGCGGAAUUCCUGGUGUAGCGGUGAAAUGCGUAGAUAUCAGGAGGAACACCUGUGGCGAAAGCGGCUCACUGGACCACAACUGACGCUGAGGCGCGAAAGCUAGGGGAGCAAACAGG